This 380-nucleotide ribosomal RNA is filed under the name uncultured eukaryote. RNAcentral describes it as "partial 18S ribosomal RNA". It matches the Rfam family "Eukaryotic small subunit ribosomal RNA", at positions 592 to 976 of the family's 1831-position model. The record is from RNAcentral.
CAAUAGCGUAUAUUAAAGUUGUUGCAGUUAAAAAGCUCGUAGUUGGAUUUGUGGCGUGCGGUGUGUUCCGGGCACUUGUUGUCUGAGUAACCUGCCGCUGCCAUCCUUGGGUGGAACCUGUGUGGCAUUAGGUUGUCGUGCAGGGGAUGCCCAUCGUUUACUGUGAAAAAAUUAGAGUGUUCAAAGCAGGCUUAUGCCGUUGAAUAUAUUAGCAUGGAAUAAUGAGAUAGGACUUUUUUGCUAUUUUGUUGGUUUGCGCAAAGAGGUAAUGAUUAAUAGGGACAGUUGGGGGUAUUCGUAUUCCAUUGUCAGAGGUGAAAUUCUUGGAUUUUUGGAAGACGAACUACUGCGAAAGCAUUUACCAAGGAUGUUUUCAUUAA